GUUGGUCAAGUCAUUGUGCUACAUAUUAGUAUAGAGCCAAAAUUCUAGAGUCCAUUUUUUGUUGUUGGAAUAGCUAAACUGAUUUAAUCAGAUAGUAGCACAUGUGUUGCUUAUCCCUAUUCUUUUUAUGUUCAAAUUAUUUUAAAAAAGAUAUUAUCUAUAUAUUGUCCUUUAAAACUUGUUUGUUCAUUGUAGAACAAAAUAACCUUAGAUGACACAGAAACAUAUGAAUGUCUAUU
RNAcentral lists this long non-coding RNA (239 nucleotides) under Glycine max (soybean). Its description in RNAcentral is "long non-coding RNA (GMAX_LNC002662)". Lineage: Eukaryota; Viridiplantae; Streptophyta; Magnoliopsida; Fabales; Fabaceae. The record is from RNAcentral.